UAGUUUUCAAGUACUUCUUUCAUGUUAAUGUUCCUUGUGGUGCUUUGCUCAUUUACAAUUCUUGUUCUUGGUUCAAGUGCGUACAAAACUUCCUUGAGUUUUCCAAGACGAAAUCCAUUCUAACUCAAGAGUAGGCUCAUUCCCAAGCACUCACAAGUUGAUAGCCGGCUUACAACACUUGAAAGGCCAAGUGAGAGAUCCGAGUGAAAAGAGUGUGAGAUUAUUUUGAACUAACGUUUGCUUUUUUAUAGGUAUAUUUUCAAAUGGAACCACCACACAUGGAACCCGAAACUUCCAAUGCAUACACCAUGGACCAUAAUGUUUUGAAUGCUCUUGUGGCUAAUCUUGAAUCCUUGUCUCGGGAUGUGGAUAGAAUGAAUAUGGAUCUUGAUAAGUUGGGAGUGGAAUUGGCCUCUAUUAGUGGCCAAAUAUAAAGGGUAGAAAUCCAAUGAGUUCUCGAUCCUUAACUCCUCAAAACACUUCCCUAACCAUUACCCCCGAAGCCAUGCACCAAAGAAUGUAUCAACCAAAUGCCAUACCUCAAGCCAACUAUUACUUAGAAGGACUAGGCCUUGAUGGACCUAGCCAUUCCCCAUCCCACCAAGUCCCACAUGAAGGACUUGGAACCCAAAAUCUACCCUUAAAUCCGAAUCCGCCAAUCCAAAGAGAUCCUCCACUAAAUACCAAUCCACAAAAGCAAAGUCCAUCAACCCGAUAGCCAAGUAGACCUAUAUAUUCCCCAUUGAACAAAGUCCAACAAGAAGUACUUAGUACUCAAAUGCUACCUAAAAAUCCAAAGUACCACAUUCCAAACCCACUUGACCAAAGGCCUUACCCUUCACAAGUCCAAACACCUCAAGUCUAAAGACCCUACACUCUACUAAAUCCAACAUCCCCUCCCCAAGCUACACUAACCCGGAAAUACCCCACCCAAGUAGAAGAAGAGAGAGAGUUGGGAUCCAAGGAGAAUAAGGCCAAGCCUAAAGAUGGAUAGAAACUUAGUUGUGAGAUACAGGAAGAAUGUGAAGAAAAAAGAGAAAGGGAAAGACUGCUGGUGGUGAAGUAGGAAAGGGAAAGAAAAAUUUGCUUGUGGGAUUUGCCCACAAAGGAUCUUUGAUACUCACUAACUCAUAUUCUAGCACUUUCCCUAGCAUUUAUCCUUCUUAUGUACAGGUUCAAGUUUAUAUACUAUCAAAGAAGGAUUAAAAAAGGGUUUCACACGAUAACAUGGGAAUUAAGCUAGUGAUAACCUUGGCCGAGAGCUCCAAACAAGUUGAAUGCCAUGGCAUACACCGAGGUAUCAUUUCUACACUCUACAUUUCCUUAGGCUUGAAAUGUUGUGAUAAGGAUAUUAGUAUCCAAUGUGAAGUAACUUCGGGUUUACAUAGUGUAGAAAAGCAGGAAUCUUUCCUUGGUAGUUCUCUUGUUGCAUAUGUUGGUUAAUUUUCUCUUAAGAAUAGUUCACUACUUCAUCAUGUGAGUGAUGUGAUUCAAAAUCCUCAAGUUAGUGUUCAUUCUUGUAAUAUAGACCAUGAUAUUGGACAUACUCCUUGGAGCUUGUGUGAUGCAAACCAUGCUACUAGUUUUGCUCAAGGUAAUCAUAUGCUUGGAAAACUUUUGAAUAAAGGCGUGCUUGCUCUUAACAGAAGACUUCUAGGCCACAAAUCUUUAGUCUUGGAUGAUAGCCUAGUAAAAGGAUUGGUUAAUCUUGGCUUAUACCCUUGAUUACACCAUCCCUUUGAUCCUAGAACAUUAGUUGGUUGGGAAAGGGGUUGCCUCGGCUUAUGCUUAUCUUUCCUUGAUGAUUAUCUUAUCCCUAUCCUUUGUAAUGUUCAAACUACAUGUUUCAUGGUUAAAACAAAGGAUUUCUAGUUGUAUUUUAAAAGUGUACCCCCUCGGCAAGAUGUCUUCACACUUGAUUCCUUUCUAUUCUACCUCUUUACCUAUGAUGAUAACCAUGUUAUUUUCGAAUUUGUAUUGUGUAGUGGUAGGAAAUUUGAUGGUUGGUUUACUUGUUUGCAUGAUGGUAAUAUGUGGUUGAGGUGGAUCUUAAGAUCAAUAGUGGCACUAUAUUUGAUGAGGUCCUUUGUAGAAGUAAUAAAACAAUUGUAUCUUAUGGUUUCUAAGAUAAAGGUAGUCUUACCUUUUGGGUAUCGUAAAUCCAUUAAGACCAUUGUAGUUCUCUUAUAUCUUGAUAUUUGUCAGAGUCACUUCCUUUGUGCCAUUCAUGCUAAGUUUUUCAUGUCACUCACAAAGGACCCGUGGGUAUAUUCCAAAUGUGAACAACCUUGGCUUGAUGACAUAUGUGAUAGUUUUGGAUUGCACUCCUCUUUCAUUGAUUUUUAUCUUAUCCAUGUGCUUUGAGAUGCUUGUGGUACCUGUUUCAUGAUCAUAACAAAGGAUUGUUGGUUGUAUUCAAAAAGUUUACCUCCUUGGCAUGUCUAUAUAAUUUGUGGUACUAAUGCUAACCCUCCUAUCAUGAGGAUUGUUUGCUUGUUUUCUCUCUCUUUGGUUUUGCAAGGUGUGACUUUGAGGACAAAUUCCUUUCAAGAUGUAGAGGAUAAUACAAGCAUGAGGAGCACAAGGAUUAUAAGCUUUUGUUGAAGGUCCAAGUUUCAGAUUUUCAAAGUGAUUUGAAGACCUUUUGAAUGCUUUUUCAAAGUCUUGUCCAAGCUUAGGAACUACAAAGACUACAAGGCGCGUUAAUGAAAAUGGAUGCAUUUGAUCUUGUUGUGAACUCUCCCAAGGGAGUGUACACCUUGACAUGUGAGGGUUUGCCUUCGGUUCUCAAAAAUACACCCAAGGUUGCCCUAAAUAAACUUCAUACCCACCACCCUCAUUAAGGGAAAAGGAGUCCUUUUACAACACCUUUUGUAAUAGACUAUUUAAAUUUUUUCCUUAGUCUUGUUCCUCAGUUAGCUUAUUCUUGAAAUAACUUGUAAUAUUGAACAGAACUUUCCUAUCAAAAAGAGAGUAGACCACCACUUUGACAUCACAAAAAGUGGUUUCUUCUUAUGUUGUGUGUAUCGGCUAGAAAUGAAAGUGCUUGAGCGAACCGAGCUCCUCUUGUAUUCCGUAAGAACGUGGUGCUUGUUAAAUUGUUUUGUGGAGGUUUUGGAGUAUUAAUACACUCUUUAUUUGUUGCA
Molecule: long non-coding RNA, 3146 nt
Filed under: Capsicum annuum
Lineage: Eukaryota; Viridiplantae; Streptophyta; Magnoliopsida; Solanales; Solanaceae
Description: long non-coding RNA (CANN_LNC005970)
Source: RNAcentral